UAAAAUGUUGAAGUUGAACUCCACUAAUCUUCCCACUGUAAAUCUUGAGCUGUUGUCUAGGAGAAUUUGCAAAAAAAGGAGAGUUUAAGGCAGGUUUUGGGCCAGAUUUGAGUUGAUCCAUUGGUAAUUAAUUUAGUGCAAUGUGAAAAACAAAAUUUGGAAACAGAGGAAGAAAUUGGUGCACCUAAAAACUCCAUGGAAG
Molecule: long non-coding RNA, 202 nt
Filed under: Olea europaea (common olive)
Lineage: Eukaryota; Viridiplantae; Streptophyta; Magnoliopsida; Lamiales; Oleaceae
Description: long non-coding RNA (OEUR_LNC005333)
Source: RNAcentral